CAAAGGCUUGGUCCUGACUUUACUAUCAGCUUUAACUGAACUUACACAUGCAAGUCUCCGCAUUCCUGUGAGGAUGCCCUUAAUCCCCUGCCCGGGGACGAGGAGCCGGCAUCAGGCGCGCCCAGGCAGCCCAAGACGCCUUGCUAAGCCACACCCCCAAGGAAACUCAGCAGUGAUAGAUAUUAAGCCAUAAGCGAAAGCUUGACUUAGUUAAGGUUAAGAGGGCCGGUAAAACUCGUGCCAGCCACCGCGGUUAUACGAGAGGCCCUAGUUGAUAACUACCGGCGUAAAGAGUGGUUACGGAAAAAUGUUUAAUAAAGCCGAACACCCCCUCAGCCGUCAUACGCACCUGGGGGCACGAAGACCUACUGCUGAAAGCA
This 380-nucleotide ribosomal RNA is filed under the name Salvelinus alpinus alpinus. RNAcentral describes it as "partial 12S small subunit ribosomal RNA". Lineage: Eukaryota; Metazoa; Chordata; Actinopteri; Salmoniformes; Salmonidae. The record is from RNAcentral.